ACUCCGACAAAAGGACGAUGUUCGGAACAUGUAAGGUUGACAGGUCAAAGCCUUUAGAAUAUUACUAACCAAAAUCGAUUAUCCAUUGUUUGCAGCCUUUGGUCUAUGAAUAAAAGGCAACAUUUCAUAUUGUAACAGAAUUGCAUAUUUUGGUGAAUUUUUGCACCUAGCCAUUGAGGCAAUAUUGAUGACAAUUUUACUUGUGUGGCUUUCAGUAAUAAGAGUUAUUAUUAAG
RNAcentral lists this long non-coding RNA (235 nucleotides) under Solanum tuberosum (potato). RNAcentral's name for it is "long non-coding RNA (STUB_LNC007686)". Lineage: Eukaryota; Viridiplantae; Streptophyta; Magnoliopsida; Solanales; Solanaceae. The record is from RNAcentral.